UACAGAGGGUGCAAGCGUUGUCCGGAAUCCCUGGGCGUAAAGGGCGCGUAGGCGGCCCGGUAAGUAGGGGGUGAAAUCUCACGGCUCAACUGUGAGGCUGCCUUCUAGACUGCCAGGCUCGAGCACAGUAGAGGCUGGUGGAAUUCCCGGUGUAGCGGUGGAAUGCGUAGAGAUCGGGAAGAACAUCUGUGGCGAAGGCGGCCAGCUGGGCUGUUGCUGACGCUGAUGCGCGACAGCGUGGGGAGCAAACAGG
Molecule: ribosomal RNA, 253 nt
Filed under: uncultured bacterium
Lineage: Bacteria
Description: partial 16S ribosomal RNA
Rfam family: Bacterial small subunit ribosomal RNA
Source: RNAcentral